UGAGAUUAAAAAUUAGAACUCUA
This 23-nucleotide non-coding RNA is filed under the name Cricetulus griseus (Chinese hamster). The record is from RNAcentral. Lineage: Eukaryota; Metazoa; Chordata; Mammalia; Rodentia; Cricetidae.